AUUGAACGCUGGCGGCGUGCCUAACACAUGCAAGUCGAGCGGUAACAGGUGUAGCAAUACAUGCUGACGAGCGGCGAACGGGUGAGUAAUGCUUCGGAAUCUACCUUAUGGUGGGGAAUAACUAGCCGAAAGGUUAGCUAAUACCGCAUACGUCCUACGGGAGAAAGCAGGGGAUCGCAAGACCUUGCGCCAAAAGAUGAGCCGAAGUCGGAUUAGCUAGUUGGUAGGGUAACGGCCUACCAAGGCGACGAUCCGUAGCUGGUCUGAGAGGACGACCAGCCACGCUGGGACUGACACACGGCGCAGAAGCCUACGGGAGGCAGCAGUGGGGAAUAUUGGACAAUGGGGGAAACCCUGAUCCAGCGACGCCGCGUGUGUGAAGCAGGCCUGCGGGUUGUAAAGCACUUUUAGUGGGGAUGAAAUGUGCAGGGUUAAUACCUCUGCAUUUUGACCUAACCCACAGAAAAAGCACCGGCUAACUCUGUGCCAGCCGCCGCCGUAA
RNAcentral lists this ribosomal RNA (502 nucleotides) under uncultured bacterium. RNAcentral describes it as "partial 16S ribosomal RNA". It matches the Rfam family "Bacterial small subunit ribosomal RNA", at positions 30 to 523 of the family's 1533-position model. The record is from RNAcentral.